This 1727-nucleotide long non-coding RNA is filed under the name Ananas comosus (pineapple). Its description in RNAcentral is "long non-coding RNA (ACOM_LNC026097)". Lineage: Eukaryota; Viridiplantae; Streptophyta; Magnoliopsida; Poales; Bromeliaceae. The record is from RNAcentral.
GUCAAAUAGUUUUUUUCUCUUUUUUUUUUGUGCCAAAUACAUAAAAAAUUUCUAACAAACAAUAAUCAAAUAUUUCUAGCUAAAUGGCAAAAGACUUGGUGGUUGAUAUUCGAGACCCAAGUUCGAAUCCUAGUUGAUUCAUAUUUUUAGCUAAUUUAUUUUUAAAUGAAAUAAACGAAGCGAAUAGCGUGCUACCUUUCUCUCAAAAAAAAAAAAACAAUAAUCAAAUAUUUCUAGCUAAAUGGCAAAAGACUUGGUGGUUGAUAUUCGAGACCCAAGUUCGAAUCCUAGUUGAUUCAUAUUUUUAGCUAAUUUAUUUUUAAAUGAAAUAAACGAAGCGGGUAGCGUGCUACCUAUCUCUCAAAAAAAAAAAAAACAAUAAUCAAAUAUAUUGUUUGGUGCUACCCGUUUAUUUAUACCAAAACAUUGGAUGAAGGCUUCAACUAGUGUCUUGUGUAGCCACACUUUUAUAUUCUUUACAAACAUUGCACUAUACUCUAGUUUUUAUUUUAUUAUUAAAAUUUGUCGUUAAAUAGAAUUAUGUCAUAUUUAACAAAAAAAAAAAAGUUCAGUUUGCCCCACUGUGUAGGGCUGGCAAAUGAGCAAGCCAGCUCGCUUUCGGCUCAAUAUUCAGCUUGCUCGAGCUCGGCUCAAAAUUAAAUGAGCCGAGCUUGAAUUAAAAAAAAAUACGAAAUUCAUUUCAAGCCAAGCUUAAGUAUUACUAGGCUCGCUCGAAUUAGACUCGAAAAAUUCGAAUAUAUAUAUAUAGUCCGGUUGGAAUACUAUCGAUAGUACCAAGCGUUUAGUGCUAUCAAGUUUUCCACCAUUUGAUUUAACUCUUUCACUAUUAUUACCCGUUAGAUUAUACUAUUAAACCAAUAACUCACUUAACCUUAGGGGACCUACAUCAUCUUAACCGUACAUUUUUUUUUCAUCCAACAUCCGAAAACCUAAUAGCACCAAUAGCUUGGUGCUAUUGAUAGUAUUCCAGCCUAUAUAUAUAUAUAUAUAUAUAUAUAUAUAUAUAUAUAUAUAUAUAUAUAUAUAUGUGCUNUAUAUAUAUAUAUAUAUAUAUAUAUAUAUAGUCCGGCUACGGUGCUUGUAAAAGCACCAAGUAUUUGCUGCUUGUAAAUUUUUUACCGUUAUAUUUAUAUCUCUAAUCAUUUUUAACCAUUAAAUUAUACUAUUCAACCAACCACCCACUCAACCCUAGGGGGCCCACAUCAUCCUAACCGCACAUCCCUUAAUUCAAGGGCUAAAAAUGUACAAGCACCAAUAACUUGGUACUUUUAAAAGCAUAGGAGCUCAAUUUUAUAUAUAUAUAUAUAUAUAUAUAUAUAUAUAUAUAGAUAGAGAGAGAGAGAGAGAGAGAGAGAGAGAGAGAGAGAGAGAACUAGGCUAAUAUACUAUUAAUAGCACCAAGUCAUUGAUGCUACCAAGUUUUUGGCUAUUGGAUUAAGAGAUAUGCGGUUAGGAUGAUGUGGGCCCCCUAGGGUUGAGUCGGUGGUUGGUUGAAUAGUAUGAUCUAACGAAUGAAAAUGAUCACAAGGGUAGAUCUAACGGCGGAAAACUUGGUAGCACCAAGUGCUUCGUGCUAUUAAUAGCAUAGUAGCCGGACUAUAUAUAUAUAUAUAUAACUAGGUUACUAUGCUAUUAAUAGCACCAAGUCAUUGGUGCUACCAAGUUUGGCCAUUGGAUUAAGAGAUGUGUGGUUAGGAUGAUGUGGG